CCCUAACACAUGCAAGUCGAACGGGGUAAUCCUUCGGGGUUACUUAGUGGCGAACGGGUGAGUAACGCGUGAGAAACCUGCCUUUCAGUGGGGACAACAGUUGGAAACGACUGCUAAUACCGCAUAAUGUUAUUUGGGGGCAUCUCCGAAUAACCAAGCUUUAUGUGCUGAAAGAUGGCUUCGCGUCUGAUUAGCUAGAUGGCGGGGUAACGGCCCACCAUGGCGACGAUCAGUAGCCGGACUGAGAGGUUGAACGGCCACAUUGGGACUGAGAUACGGCCCAGACUCCUACGGGAGGCAGCAGUGGGGAAUAUUGGGCAAUGGGGGAAACCCUGACCCAGCAACGCCGCGUGAAGGAAGAAGGCCUUCGGGUUGUAAACUUCUUUUACCAGGGACGAAGAACGUGACGGUACCUGGAGAAAAAGCAACGGCUAACUACGUG
RNAcentral lists this ribosomal RNA (442 nucleotides) under uncultured bacterium. RNAcentral describes it as "bacterial SSU rRNA". It matches the Rfam family "Bacterial small subunit ribosomal RNA", at positions 47 to 507 of the family's 1533-position model. The record is from RNAcentral.